CUGAGGUUUAAUGUGUAAGCCCUCGGGCCUCUGUGGCAUGCAUUGACCUGUUGGCAUCGCUGUUUGUUUUCUGCAGGAGUUGCUGUUGGAUGAGCUGGUGAUGGGCGUGGCCUUGCUCUUGUUGGAAGCCCCUUCAGAUCAGCUGACCAGCCUUCUCAGACUUGCACUGAGUUUGGUCCCUGAACAAGCGGAGGCGUCGCCCUGGUUGAGUCCGGUCCUGAUUCUCCCUGUGUUGCAGCUCCUGUCCUGCUUGGGUCUCACUGAGCCGCUGUCUGACCAGAACACACACAGCACCAACCACAGGCUGGCUCACAGCCUGCUGCGCAGCAUUAGCAGGCCCGCAGAUAAACCCUAGCAGCCUGCCCCAUCACUGACUCUGUCUCUGAGUUCCUGGUAUAGUGAGCUCAGCGUGUCUUUGUCGGUACUGCGCAAAGUGGCCAACAAUCCAGCGGCAGCGACCGAUUGGCUGUUGGCGGUCAGCUCCGCCCUGUCGUCCAGCCAGCGCCUGUCCUCCUCUCUUGUCCUGAUUGUGACUUAUCUCAUCAUCACGGGUCAGGAAAACAUCUGCCAGCUGGCUUUGAAAGCAAGCCAGGCUGUCGCUGCUGCCGACCCCUGCCAGGUAGAUAACCCACACAACUGGUUCUCUUAAAUCUGUGGACUGAAUAUAAAGUAAUGCAUGUUCCCUCUGACAUGUAGAUAUAUUGUAUGUAAGGGAGCUAGCUUGUGUUUGUCUUUCUAAGAGCAGUAAACACAUGUUGAUAACCUGGUAUUUUGGCACCAACACAUGACUUUGAAAUGGUUCAGAUCAGCAGGAAGAUAAAAGCUGUCACUGCUGUGUGAUUGCUGCUAAUCUGCUGCCGUAUAAAGGGAG
Long non-coding RNA from Oreochromis aureus, 871 nucleotides. The record is from Ensembl. Lineage: Eukaryota; Metazoa; Chordata; Actinopteri; Cichliformes; Cichlidae.